RNAcentral lists this long non-coding RNA (267 nucleotides) under Jatropha curcas. RNAcentral's name for it is "long non-coding RNA (JCUR_LNC001000)". The record is from RNAcentral. Lineage: Eukaryota; Viridiplantae; Streptophyta; Magnoliopsida; Malpighiales; Euphorbiaceae.
UUGAGGAGCCAGAUUCCGUUAGCUCUGGCUGAGUGUGUGGAUCCGUCUAAGUUUGUCUUGGAAGCAAUUUCAGAAGUUUUCCCAGUGGAUAAGAGGGGGGAAAGGACGGAGAAAGGGAAUGACUUGGGAUGGGCUUGCGUGCUGAUUUUGGAGAGCCUGAUACCGGUAGUCGUGGACCCGGUGAUAGGCAAGUCCAGGCUGUUAGUGACCCCGAGCGUGAAGGAGAGGGCCAAGGAAAUUGCUGAGACUUGGAAGAGAAGUCUGGAA